AACUGUCUGCAAGGCUGCUUGUCACCUUCGAAUAUACUCCAUCAACAUGCUGCCACUUCAUCUUGUUUAGGCUCUUCGACUGCUUUAUAGAAGGACACUGAAGUCCACAUCUAUCUCCUUGAGACAGGCAAAGAAACAAAUCCUUUAUCCUGUCUCAAAAAGAGCUGACAAGCUUUUAGUAGUGUUUAUCUUCACUGAAGGGUGAUAACCUUGAAAAUGAAAGUGAAAAGAGACUGAUACAAUUAGGUAUGUAGUCUUCUCCAUACUGUAUUACAAUUGGUUUUCUUUUAUAGUUUAACAUAGUAUAACAUUCUUUUAUAGUUUUAUAUAAGUCGAAGUUUUCUGUUGUCCACACUGGUUUUUCUAAAACUAAAUUUAAAGUUACAGUUUAUUUACAAAAUAUCAGUGCAUCAUGUUGUGACUAUUUUGCAAAAAUGUAAUUUUCCUCUUAAGCCAGAAGGGGUUAAAAAUAUUUCUUUGAAAUGUUUUAUCCUACCAUUCUUCCCAUAUCAUCUAUGCCAUUUUUUUCUCUCCCUUGACAUUUGACUCCAUGUUAUGUCAUAUUCAGAGAGAUUUUUCUAAAAUAAAUUUCCCAGAUUACAGGCAAAUCUUAGAAUUCUAAUUAUUUACAUCUUAUAGAGUCAAGGACAGUAAAGGGUAGAUUUGACAUUUCAUUAAUAACUUGUGUAUUCAAAUUUCCAUUUGUGUUAAAUUGUGCCCACUCCCGAGGUUCCAACAAAUAUAGAUAUGCCUGGCAAGCUAGUAGCUUGGUUAUCCACAGGUCAUUUUGUGUGAACAACCAUGAGUCCCUUAGAAAAGAAUUCAUCCUGCUGUGAGUUGGCUGAAAGCAAAAAAUACAAAAAAGAAAAGAAAAGAAGAAAGGAAAAUAGCUCAUCCUAUCAGAACAAGAAGUCAGACACAAAGAUUUGGCCACUAGAGGAGAGUGGUGUCUCUGAGUCCAAUGUCAUGUCUGCUUUGUCCCCAUGCCAGCUCCACAAGUUUUCAUGUCUAAGUCACAGGGGGGAAAGAGUCCACGAGCAAAAAAUCUAAGUGUAACUCAAAAUAGAAGAGAGACAUUCUUUCCCACUACGUGGCAGAGCAAGGCGUAUCUGUGGUCUCUUGUGGGUGUCUGAUUCAGCUACAAGAGAUCACAGUGGUUCCUAACAAAUGACUGGCAACAGGUUGCUGAAAGGGGCAGCAGUCAGCAGGUAAACUUGUACCCAGCAUUCGCAAACCCCUCCCUGGCGACUCAUCGACACACAGAAGGGUCACUCUCAUGAGACUGAAAUCCUGCAAAGGAAGAGGAAGCAUCCUCUAAGGCACCACUGCUACUCUCCUCUCUCUGCUACAGCUACCUUUCCAUUCUCCCAUGCCUCUCUCCAUGGGUGUGCUUAGCCAACAAAUCCAGGAUCUGUGGCAGUACUGAAUCAUCAAGUCCCAGGGGAUAAUAGCCAGAAAGGGCCUUGGAGGCCAGAUUGACACUGCCCUAUCCCAUCUCUCUGGAGCUAGUUGGUGCUGGCAAGGCUCUGAGUAGCAACACAGUCUGUGAGUCAGCGUCCGCCCACAGCUGAAGGUUGUUGCUUGUUCUCAGUGGGAGCUGAGUGUGGACAAAAUAUCCCUGUGGGCUUAAUCUGGCCUGCAGGCUGUAUUUAGCCACCCCUGCUCUGGUCCUAAAUUACUUCGCAGUGAUACAAGAAUUUCUAAAAGUUACACUGUAAGGUUUUGGCUUAGAACUUGAUAUUACCUCAAGUGUGUUAUCCUAAUAAAAUACAGGCCAUCUCAUGCUUUUUAUUCCAUUUAUACAGAGCCAAUGAUCUUAUGCAUGGAGGUCUUUCUUUGGCCUUGAUUGUUUUUUUAUCUUUCCAUCUUCCCACCUCCACAAAAUCUUUAUUAAGUCUUGAAGAUAUGCCAGGGAGUAGCUCUGAACAAUGUAAAUUAUAACUUUCCCUAAAAUGGCACAAGCUAAAACAUAAAGAUAUUAAGACUCCAUAACAAGGUUUUAAGAUGCUUAGAACUGUACCACUGGGCUGGGCAUAGAGUAACACAUCAGUAGGUAAUUUUUUAGUUGAAUUUUGAUGAAUGAAAUGGAAUGAAGUAUCUGUUUGUUUGUUUGUUAAGAGCAAGGCAGUGUCAUAUACUCAGAGAAGGAACUUGGAAGAAGCUUCUUUGAAGAAGUCAUAGGUUCACAUUCUACUUCCCUUACAAAACGUAUAACCUUGGGAAAAAACAUAAAAUGGAGAUAAAUUAUAUCUCUGCAGAAUGUUAUAAUGAUAAAUUAGGUAAGUAUGUAAAUCAUCUGAUAUAAUGUCUGCUUCAAUUGGAAUUGACCAUCUUUUUUUAAAGUCAUAAAGAUUAUCCUUAUGGCUAUAUGCAACGAGGACUAAAAGGUCAGUGUCUGUCACUUCUCUAAGCAAAUGUUGGGCAGAUCAGAUAAGGGAUACAUACUGUCAGGAGGUCUCUCCUGUUUAGAAAAUGAAUGUCAGUUAUAAUUUGAAAAUGGAAGUUUUUGAAGGCAUCUAAGCACUGGAUGCUAUGAAGAACUCCCAGAAAUAUCAAGAACUCCCAGAAAUAUCAAUUUUCCACUUUCCUAUCACAGAAAGCUCUAGGCAGUCCCUAGUUUAAACAUGGCAUAUACCAUUUGGCCUGGAACAUCUGGGAGGUGAGACUACCCCCAUGUUCCAGGGUCAGAUUUGGCCCACUGGACAAGUCACCACCUCUAUUCAUCUGAGGCAAUUCAUUGUGGAGACAGCACUAGACCGACUCAGGGGUCUAAAACCAUGAAAUCUAGAAUUGGUUCCAUUCCCUUCCUAGCUGUAUGGCCUGGGCAAGUUACUUAAGCUCCUUGAAUCUCAGAUUCCUCAUUUAUGCAAUGAGAACAAUAUCUGUUCUUCCUGCACGAUUAAGUUACUGAUGGUUAUUGUCAUUUGCUCUACCCUAGCUCCACCUAUAUUGCUCGGGCUUAAUGAGUGUUUCCUCAGCCUUGUGUCAGGUCUCGACUUGUAUUACCUCAUGUAGUUCUCAUAUCAACUUAAUGAGGUAACUGUGAUUCCCAUUUUACAGAUGAGAAAACUGAAACACUGAGGGGUUAAUUAACUUACAUACUUGGUUAGUGGCAGAGCAGGAAUCUGACUUCAAAGCCCAUGUGCCUAGCCAUUAUGCUAAGCUGUCUCUUAGAAACAGGUAGGUUUUGAGUGCCCAGCACUCAUUUAACAUGUAUGUAUUUAGUGCAAAGUUCUCGCCCUUGAGGACCUCAUAUCCAAAGUCAUAGUGUAGAGAUGUGCAGGGUCAAAUUGAUCUUUGUACCCACCCCGGAAGAUCUGAAAGAACCCCAGGUCUUCAGCAAGUGGAGCAAUUUCCUCUGUUAGGAUGUAAGACCGAAAGAGACACACCCACAACCAGAGUCACCCACACUCCGAUGGGGCUAGCGAUAGUCAGUCUGGCCAUGUGGUGCCACUUCCUCUCUGGUUUGUAAGCACUUUCUCUUCUAUUUCUACUAACAAGGCAUUUAAAGAAACAAUUGUGUUCUUUAGUCAGAAGAAAAAUUGCAUUUUGUUUAGUCUGAAAUAAAUAAAUUUAAAGCUACACUGCAGAAAUAAAACCUUUAAAAAUCACAUAAAUGAUCAUAUAUUUUUUCUGGGUUUUCUUACUAAUAUGCAUAGCACUACAGUACUUAAUUGUUUCCACAGUCAGAGCCUAGAAUUUUAAAACUCCAAGAUAGUUGUCUAAUGCCAUUUUACAUAAAAAGAUUAGAUUGAAACUUUCGUCUCCUCAUUUCCAGUCCUGCACUCUUUCCACUGAAAGACUGUCAUUCUUUAACUAUGCUAGUUUUAAUUCCCUGCCUGAAGAAUUGUGUCCUUUCUUCCCUUCUGCCAAAUUCCUAUUGAUUGGCUGGUGAUGAGUUAGUAAAUGCUUGAUGAGAAUGCCAUUUAGGCCUUCAGUGUCAAGAUCAAGGAAGGCUUAUAAAGAGAUGCCUUUCAUCUUUUCCUAAAGUCAGUGCCUUAGGUAAUCACUUCAUGUCCAGAGGCAAAGAGUCCCCCAGAUGAGGUGCCAUGACUCGGGGAACUCUGGCCUCAGCUUUGUCAGCUCAUUAAGAAUACUGUCUACCACAAAGUGACUUUUGAACACACUAAGUAGCAAGAAUCAAAUGGUUUCUGCAGCGACAGGGUCAGCUGGAUCAGAGCCUCAGCCUUGAAAUAAAUCAGAUAUUGAAGAAGUAAACAACAAAAGAAGCUGAAGACAGACUGGAUACAGACAUGGUGCUUUUAUCUGUCAGCCAGCAAGCCAUCAGCUUUCUCUUUUGCAAAGAGACAUGGUGUUUCUAUAGUGCCAUCUUAUACGUUGGGUUACAUGCCCAUCUUACUUGCUUGUUUGUCAGCUCUUGGAGAGCAAGGACCCUAUCAUGCAUAUUUUUAUUCCUUAGUUUGCAGCACAUUCUCUUUUAUAUAACAGGUGUUUGAUGUAUGAAGAAAUAAAAAAGAAAGGAAGGAAAACUCUAUGUCCUGUAUCCUGAAGAAAUUUAUAAUAAGGCUUAUUGCUUUUCUCCCAGACUGUAUAAAAUUCAAUGAUAGAAAACAUGCAGAAUUAUCUUGUAGAAGAAAUAGAGAAAAUGGAGAACAAGAGAGGCUAUUAAAGACAGGAAUUAAUUUAUGGCAGGGUAGGGAGGCUCAUGCCUGUAAUUCCAACAUUUCGGGGAGCCAAGGUUGGUGAACUGUUUGUGCUCAGGAGUUUCAGUCCAGCCUGAGCAACACGGCAAAACCCCAUCUCUACAAAAAAUACAAAAAUUAGCCAGGCGUGGUGGCGCAUGCCUGUAAUCCCAGCUACUUGGAAGACUGAGGAGAAAGGAUCGCGUGGGCCCGGGAGGUUGAGGCUGCAGUGAGCUGUGAUGAUAAAUACAGAAAUAAAUAAAAAGAAGAAAGGAAUUAACUUUUGUUUAGGGAAUACUAUGCCAAACACUGUAGCAGGCAAUUUGUAUAUACCAUCUUAUCUAAUCUUACCAUAACACCAUGAGUCAGAUAUUCAUAUUUCUCAUUUUUAUAUCUAUAGAUAAAGAAACCAGGACUCAAAGAUGAAGUAACUUGUUCAAAGUCUGGCAGCUACUAAGUGACAGAGCUGAAAUUCAAGCCACCAACUACAAGGUUCAUAUUCUGUUCACUUCAUCAGGCUGUUUACUGUAGGCAAAAAUACUAUUUUACAGCCAUAAUUAAACAACUUUCUAGCAAACGGCAUUUCUAUCAUUCUAGCACCACUAGCAUUAUCGCCUCUUCUCCCAUUGACAUAUUUUUUUAAGGCACUAACCUGGAAUUUCUUCUUCCAGUACAGAUGGACUAAGGGGGCGCAAACCCCCCUGGGUGAAACAACAAAAAGAAAAACAGAUAAAAUAUAUUAAACAACAGCUCUCAAGAUACUAGCAUCAGGCAACAAACCAAAGUGAUCCCUGUGAGAUAGUAAACAAAUGAGGUGAACCCUAUGACAGGUGCAACUUACUGCUUUGCAGAGUUUCCAGGCCAUGACACUAAGAGGAGAUAUCCAAGCAGAGCCCAGUGAAUGACCCAGAUUGAGGAGACAGAGCUGAAAGUCCAAGAAGACCCAAGGCAGCUGGAAUUUGCAAGACCGAGUACCAGAGAAAAGAGGGCUGAGCAGAGAUAGAAUUCCAGAGAUUUGUAAAGGGUCUCCCUUAAGUAUUUAGCAGAGUAUUAAUCAUUGUAGGCAUUUGAGGCAGUUACCUGUGGCCAGGAAAAAAACCACCCAAGAGGAUUAAAGGAAACAGUGUUUUAGCACUCACACAAGGCCAGAAAUAGCCUAUUUUCCCAUCCAGAUUGACUUAACUUCGUAAUUUGUGGGGCUUUGGGUAAAAAAGUCUACUCAUUAGUUAGUCUUACCUCAGUAGUAGGGAAUAAGUAGAUGUAGACUAAACACUAUACUGGUACCACCAAAAAAGCUUUAAAAACAGACUUAAAAGAAGUAAAUGCUUUUCAAGUAAUUUAACUGCAUCCUAGAACAAAAGACAUGCAAUUGGAGUCCCUGAAAGGAGGAUGUGAGAAAAAAUAUUACAGGAAAUAAUGACUAAAAUUGUUUCAAAUUUGAUGAAAGGAUAGACACAAGAAACUCAACAAAACUCAAAGCGUACAAGAAACAUGAAGAAGCCAGGUGCAGUGGCUCAUACUUGUAGUCCCAGCUGCUUGGGAGGCUGAGGCAGGAGGAUCUCUUGAGCCCAGUAGAUUGAAUCUGCAGUGAGCUGUGAACGCACCACUGUACUCCAGCCUGGGAGACAGAGCAAGACCCUAUCAAAAAAAAAAGGAAGAGACAUGAAGAAAACUACACUAAGGCACACAAUAAUCAAACUGCUCAAAAUCAGUGAUAAAGUGAAAAUCUUAAAUGCAACCAGAAGGAAAAAGACAUUAUAUACAGAGAAACAACGAUAAGGAUGACAUUAGAUUUAACUUCAGUAAUAAUGCAAUCCAGAAAACAGUGGAACAACAUUUUUAAAGUGCUGAAAGAAAAAAGCUAGAAUUCUACUCUCAGUAAAAAUGUCUUUAUAAGAAUUUUUUUCCUUUUUUUCUUUUUUCCUUGAGAUGAAGUCUCACUCUGUUGCCCAGGCUGUUCUUGAACUCCUGAGCUCAAACAACUCUCUGCCUUGGACUCCUAAAGUGCUGGGUGGGAUUACAGGCGUGAACCACCGUGCCUGGCCAGGACAUUUUUGGACAUACGAAGCUGAAAGAGUUCAUCACCAGCAAAUCCAUACUACAAAAAAUGUUAAAGAAAUUCUUCAGGCAGAAGAAAAAUACCCUAUAUGAAAAUUUUAAUCUGCACAAAUAAAUGAAGAGAACCAAAAAUGGUAAUACAUGGCAUGAUUGUUAAUUUUAUGUGCCAACUUAGUGGCCAUGAGGUGCCCAGAUUAAACAUUAUUCCUGGAUGUGUUUGUGAGGGUGUUUCUGAAUGAGAUUACAUUUGAAUCAGCGGACUCAGUAAAGUAGAUUGCCCUCCCAGUGUGGAUGGGCCUCAUCCAAUCUGUUAGGAGCCUAAAUGGAAUAAAGUGUGGCAGAAAGGAAAAUUCACCCCUUUUGCUUCCUGCCUGUCUGGUUGAACUGAGACAUCUCAUCCCAUCUUCCCUAGCACUCAGAUUGGGAUUUACAACACCAGGUCCCUUGGUUCUCAGGCCUUUGGACUUGGACUGAAUUACACCACUGCUUUCCGCGGUCUCCCAACUCGUGGAUGGCAGACUGUGGGACUUCUUAGCCUCCAUAAUCAUCGGAGCCAAUUUCUCAUAAUAAACAUAUUUACUAUACCCUACUGGCUCUGUUUCUUUGGAGAACUCUGACCAAUACACAUGAGUAAAUACAUAAAGUAUUUUUUCUUAUUUACAUCUAUUAAAAGAUAGUUGACUGUUUACCCAACAGUAGUAACAAUGUGUUUGGGG
Molecule: long non-coding RNA, 7417 nt
Filed under: Homo sapiens (human)
Lineage: Eukaryota; Metazoa; Chordata; Mammalia; Primates; Hominidae
Description: HSALNT0308067
Source: RNAcentral